CGUAGGUGGCAAGCGUUGUCCGGAUUUACUGGGUGUAAAGGGUGCGCAGGCGGGCCUUUAAGUAGGAAGUGAAAGGUUGGAGCUCAACUCCGACACUGCUUCCUAUACUGGGGGCCUUGAGUCUCGGAGAGGAAGCGGAACGACACGUGUAGCGGUGAAAUGCGUUGAUAUGUGUCGGAACACCAAUGGCGAAAGCAGCUUUCUGGACGAGUACUGACGCUCAGGCACGAAAGCCAAGGUAGCAAACAGGAUU
RNAcentral lists this ribosomal RNA (253 nucleotides) under uncultured bacterium. RNAcentral describes it as "partial 16S ribosomal RNA". It matches the Rfam family "Bacterial small subunit ribosomal RNA", at positions 526 to 779 of the family's 1533-position model. The record is from RNAcentral.